RNAcentral lists this ribosomal RNA (253 nucleotides) under uncultured bacterium. Its description in RNAcentral is "partial 16S ribosomal RNA". It matches the Rfam family "Bacterial small subunit ribosomal RNA", at positions 524 to 776 of the family's 1533-position model. The record is from RNAcentral.
UACAGAGGGUGCGAGCGUUGUCCGGAAUCACUGGGCGUAAAGGGCGCGUAGGCGGCUCAGUAAGGUUGCGGUGAAAGCCCGGGGCUCAACCCCGGGUCGGCCGUGGCAACUGCUGGGCUGGAGCACUGUAGAGGCAGGUGGAAUUCCGCGUGUAGCAGUGAAAUGCGUAGAGAUGCGGAGGAACACCGAUGGCGAAGGCAGCCCCCUGGGUCGACACUGACGCUCAGGCACGAAAGCGUGGGGAGCAAACAGG